ACUCCGAUUAUUGAAAACACUCCU
RNAcentral lists this non-coding RNA (24 nucleotides) under Arabidopsis thaliana (thale cress). The record is from RNAcentral. Lineage: Eukaryota; Viridiplantae; Streptophyta; Magnoliopsida; Brassicales; Brassicaceae.